Molecule: microRNA precursor, 190 nt
Filed under: Oryza brachyantha (malo sina)
Lineage: Eukaryota; Viridiplantae; Streptophyta; Magnoliopsida; Poales; Poaceae
Description: MIR812 microRNA precursor family
Rfam family: MIR812 microRNA precursor family
Source: Rfam by way of RNAcentral
AAUAAGAUUAUUUUUUAGUUUUUUAUACAGUGUUUUGACUGAACAUCUUAUUUGAAAUUUUUUUGUGAUUAAUAUUUUUAUUCUUAUGAGAUGAUAAAACAUAAAUAAUACUUUAUGCGCGACUAUUUUUUUAAGUUUUUAUAUAAUUUUUUAAAUAAGAAGAAUGGUCAAACGUCGAACACGGGAAAAC